Molecule: long non-coding RNA, 433 nt
Filed under: Cricetulus griseus (Chinese hamster)
Lineage: Eukaryota; Metazoa; Chordata; Mammalia; Rodentia; Cricetidae
Description: lncRNA (ENSCGRG00015043288.1)
Source: RNAcentral
GGAUGAGCAAGCUUGAGGCAAUGCACAGCAGAGACACAGCAGAGCACUGGGUGGCCAACCCUCCCAAGAAGCAGCAUGUGGUCAAGAGGAAGUGGUUGGUUAUGAGAAUUACAAAAUUGCAGUACAGCAAAAACACAGUGGCUUCUAAGAACGGCAUGUGGCUUCUUCCCUUCUUCACAAUGCUGACUUUCCACCUGUACUUCAUCCUAACACAAUAUCCAUUUGGCCUGAAAGCCUGGUGUUUUCCUACCCCUUGCUGGAGAAUGGGUCACUGUAAUGCUGGAAGAAGCUAGACGAUCUACUACCAAAAGUGCACAAGAACUUCACAAGACAAUGCCGUAGGCCCCCAGCUGUAGGCCUCGAAGACAAUAAAUACAUCUCAGUGCUACAGAUAAACACAUCCCCCUUUCAAUUUAUAGAUCUUUAUGUAAGC